AGGGUUUGAUCAUGGCUCAGGACGAACGCUGGCGGUGCGCCUUAUGCAUGCAAGUUGAGCGAAGCUUUUUGGUAGUUUACUACUAGAAAUGACUGAGCGGCGAACGGGUGAGUAACGCGUGAGCAAUCUACCUUAGUUACUGGGAUAGCCCGAGGAAACUCGGAUUAAUACCGGAUAUUCUUAUUUUUUCACAUGAAGUUUUAAGGAAAGGUCAGCCGAACUAAGAUGAGCUCGCGUUCUAUCAGCUAGUUGGUGGGGUAAAAGCCUACCAAGGCUACGACGGAUAGCUGGUCUGAGAGGACGAUCAGCCACACUGGGACUGAGACGCGGCCCAGACUCCUACGGGAGGCUGCAGCAGGGAAUAUUGUGCAAUGAGCGAAAGCUUGACACAGCGACACCGCGUGUGGGAUGACGGUUCUAGGAUUGUAAACCACUUUCAGGAGGGAAGAAAAUGACGGUACCUCCACAAGAAGACCCGGCCAACUAUGUGCCAGCAGCCGCGGUAA
Molecule: ribosomal RNA, 506 nt
Filed under: uncultured bacterium
Lineage: Bacteria
Description: bacterial SSU rRNA
Rfam family: Bacterial small subunit ribosomal RNA
Source: RNAcentral